This 1343-nucleotide ribosomal RNA is filed under the name uncultured bacterium. Its description in RNAcentral is "16S ribosomal RNA". It matches the Rfam family "Bacterial small subunit ribosomal RNA", at positions 28 to 1378 of the family's 1533-position model. The record is from RNAcentral.
GACGAACGCUGGCGGCGUGCUUAACACGUGCAAGUCGAACGGAAAGGCCCUGCUUUUGUGGGGUGCUCGAGUGGCGAACGGGUGAGUAACACGUGAGUAACCUGCCCUUGACUUUGGGAUAACUUCAGGAAACUGGGGCUAAUAUCGGAUAGGAGCUCCUGCUGCAUGGUGGGGGUUGGAAAGUUUCGGCGGUUGGGGAUGGACUCGCGGCUUAUCAGCUUGUUGGUGGGGUAGUGGCUUACCAAGGCUUUGACGGGUAGCCGGCCUGAGAGGGUGACCGGCCACAUUGGGACUGAGAUACGGCCCAGACUCCUACGGGAGGCAGCAGUGGGGAAUAUUGCACAAUGGGCGGAAGCCUGAUGCAGCAACGCCGCGUGCGGGAUGACGGCCUUCGGGUUGUAAACCGCUUUCGCCUGUGACGAAGCGUGAGUGACGGUAAUGGGUAAAGAAGCACCGGCUAACUACGUGCCAGCAGCCGCGGUGAUACGUAGGGUGCGAGCGUUGUCCGGAUUUAUUGGGCGUAAAGGGCUCGUAGGUGGUUGAUCACGUCGGAAGUGUAAUCUUGGGGCUUAACCCUGAGCGUGCUUUCGAUACGGGUUGACUUGAGGAAGGUAGGGGAGAAUGGAAUUCCUGGUGGAGCGGUGGAAUGCGCAGAUAUCAGGAGGAACACCAGUGGCGAAGGCGGUUCUCUGGGCCUUUCCUGACGCUGAGGAGCGAAAGCGUGGGGAGCGAACAGGCUUAGAUACCCUGGUAGUCCACGCUGUAAACGGUGGGUACUAGGUGUGGGGUCCAUUCCACGGGUUCCGUGCCGUAGCUAACGCUUUAAGUACCCCGCCUGGGGAGUACGGCCGCAAGGCUAAAACUCAAAGGAAUUGACGGGGCCCCGCACAAGCGGCGGAGCAUGCGGAUUAAUUCGAUGCAACGCGUAGAACCUUACCUGGGUUUGACAUGGAUCGGGAGUGCUCAGAGAUGGGUGUGCCUCUUUUGGGGUCGGUUCACAGGUGGUGCAUGCCUGUCGUCAGCUCGUGUCGUGAGAUGUUGGGUUAAGUCCCGCAACGAGCGCAACCCUUGUUCACUGUUGCCAGCACGUUAUGGUGGGGACUCAGUGGAGACCGCCGGGGUCAACUCGGAGGAAGGUGGGGAUGACGUCAAGUCCUCAUGCCCCUUAUGUCCAGGGCUUCACGCAUGCUACAAUGGCUGGUACAGAGAGUGGCGAGCCUGUGAGGGUGAGCGAAUCUCGGAAAGCCGGUCUCAGUUCGGAUUGGGGUCUGCAACUCGACCUCAUGAAGUCGGAGUCGCUAGUAAUCGCAGAUCAGCAACGCUACGGUGAAUACGUUCCCGGG